GUAACGGCGAGUGAAGCGGCAACAGCUCAAAUUUGAAAGCUAGCCUUCGGGUUCGCAUUGUAAUUUGUAGAGGAUGAUUUGGGGAAGCCGCCUGUCUAAGUUCCUUGGAACAGGACGUCAUAGAGGGUGAGAAUCCCGUAUGUGACAGGAAAUGGCACCCUAUGUAAAUCUCCUUCGACGAGUCGAGUUGUUUGGGAAUGCAGCUCUAAAUGGGAGGUAAAUUUCUUCUAAAGCUAAAUAUUGGCGAGAGACCGAUAGCGCACAAGUAGAGUGAUCGAAAGAUGAAAAGCACUUUGGAAAGAGAGUUAAAAAGCACGUGAAAUUGUUGAAAGGGAAGCGCUUGCAAUCAGACUUGUUUAAACUGUUCGGCCGGUCUUCUGACCGGUUUACUCAGUUUGGACAGGCCAGCAUCAGUUUCGGCGGCCGGAUAAAGGCUCUGGGAAUGUGGCCUCCACUUCGGUGGAGGUGUUAUAGCCCAGGGUGUAAUACGGCCAGCCGGGACUGAGGUCCGCGCUUCGGCUAGGAUGCU
This 529-nucleotide ribosomal RNA is filed under the name Aureobasidium pullulans. RNAcentral describes it as "eukaryotic LSU rRNA". It matches the Rfam family "Eukaryotic large subunit ribosomal RNA", at positions 83 to 627 of the family's 3401-position model. Lineage: Eukaryota; Fungi; Ascomycota; Dothideomycetes; Dothideales; Saccotheciaceae. The record is from RNAcentral.